GAUGAACGCUAGCGGCAGGCUUAACACAUGCAAGUCGAGGGGUAUAGUUCUUCGGAAUUAGAGACCGGCGCACGGGUGCGUAACGCGUAUGCAAUCUACCUUUCACAGAGGGAUAGCCCAGAGAAAUUUGGAUUAAUACCUCAUAGUAUAGCAGUUUCGCAUGAAACCACUAUUAAAGUCACAACGGUGAAAGAUGAGCAUGCGUCCCAUUAGCUAGUUGGUAAGGUAACGGCUUACCAAGGCAACGAUGGGUAGGGGUCCUGAGAGGGAGAUCCCCCACACUGGUACUGAGACACGGACCAGACUCCUACGGGAGGCAGCAGUGAGGAAUAUUGGACAAUGGGCGCAAGCCUGAUCCAGCCAUGCCGCGUGCAGGAUGACGGUCCUAUGGAUUGUAAACUGCUUUUAUACAGGAAGAAACACUAACUUCGUGAAGUAGCUUGACGGUACUGUAAGAAUAAGGAUCGGCUAAACUCCGUGCCAGCAGCC
This 489-nucleotide ribosomal RNA is filed under the name uncultured bacterium. Its description in RNAcentral is "bacterial SSU rRNA". It matches the Rfam family "Bacterial small subunit ribosomal RNA", at positions 28 to 516 of the family's 1533-position model. The record is from RNAcentral.